UACGAAGGGGGCGAGCGUUGUUCGGAUUUACUGGGCGUAAAGGGCGCGUAGGCGGCCUUGUCAGUCAGGCGUGAAAGCCCCGGGCUCAACCUGGGAACGGCGCUUGGGACGGCGAGGCUGGAGUUCGGGAGAGGAGAGUGGAAUUCCCAGUGUAGAGGUGAAAUUCGUAGAUAUUGGGAAGAACACCGGUGGCGAAGGCGGCUCUCUGGACCGUAACUGACGCUGAGGCGCGAAAGCGUGGGGAGCAAACAGG
RNAcentral lists this ribosomal RNA (253 nucleotides) under uncultured bacterium. RNAcentral's name for it is "partial 16S ribosomal RNA". It matches the Rfam family "Bacterial small subunit ribosomal RNA", at positions 524 to 776 of the family's 1533-position model. The record is from RNAcentral.